GACGAACGCUGGCGGCGUGCCUAAUACAUGCAAGUCGAGCGAAGUUUUUCUGGUGCUUGCACUAGAAAAACUUAGCGGCGAACGGGUGAGUAACACGUAAAGAACCUGCCUCAUAGACUGGGACAACUAUUGGAAACGAUAGCUAAUACCGGAUAACAGUAUUUCUCGCAUGAGAGAUAUUUAAAAGUUGGUUAUGCUAACACUAUGAGAUGGCUUUGCGGUGCAUUAGCUAGUUGGUGGGGUAAAGGCCCACCAAGGCGACGAUGCAUAGCCGACCUGAGAGGGUGAUCGGCCACACUGGGACUGAGACACGGCCCAGACUCCUACGGGAGGCAGCAGUAGGGAAUCUUCCGCAAUGGGCGAAAGCCUGACGGAGCAACGCCGCGUGAGUGAAGAAGGAUUUCGGUUCGUAAAGCUCUGUUGUUAGGGAAGAAUGGAUAUGUAGUAACUAUACAUAU
RNAcentral lists this ribosomal RNA (458 nucleotides) under Gemella morbillorum. Its description in RNAcentral is "bacterial SSU rRNA". It matches the Rfam family "Bacterial small subunit ribosomal RNA", at positions 28 to 473 of the family's 1533-position model. Lineage: Bacteria; Bacillati; Bacillota; Bacilli; Caryophanales; Gemellaceae. The record is from RNAcentral.